Molecule: ribosomal RNA, 460 nt
Filed under: uncultured bacterium
Lineage: Bacteria
Description: partial 16S ribosomal RNA
Rfam family: Bacterial small subunit ribosomal RNA
Source: RNAcentral
CCUACGGGAGGCAGCAGUGAGGAAUAUUGGUCAAUGGGCGUAAGCCUGAACCAGCCAAGUCGCGUGAGGGAUGAAGGCCCUAUGGAUCGUAAACCUCUUUUAUAAGGGAAUAAAGUGCGGGACGUGUCCCGUUUUGUAUGUACUUUAUGAAUAAGGAUCGGCUAACUCCGUGCCAGCAGCCGCGGUAAUACGGAGGAUCCGAGCGUUAUCCGGAUUUAUUGGGUUUAAAGGGUGCGUAGGUGGCUUUUUAAGUCAGCGGUGAAAGUCUGUGGCUCAACCAUAGAAUUGCCGUUGAUACUGGGAGGCUUGAGUAUGUUUGAGGUAGGCGGAAUGCGUGGUGUAGCGGUGAAAUGCUUAGAUAUCACGCAGAACCCCGAUUGCGAAGGCAGCUUGCCAAGCCAUGACUGACGCUGAUGCACGAAAGCGUGGGGAUCAAACAGGAUUAGAUACCCCAGUAGUC